Molecule: small nucleolar RNA, 90 nt
Filed under: Macleaya cordata
Lineage: Eukaryota; Viridiplantae; Streptophyta; Magnoliopsida; Ranunculales; Papaveraceae
Description: Small nucleolar RNA R44/J54/Z268 family
Rfam family: Small nucleolar RNA R44/J54/Z268 family
About the family: R44, J54 and Z268 are members of the C/D class of snoRNA which contain the C (UGAUGA) and D (CUGA) box motifs.
Source: Rfam by way of RNAcentral
UUUGCAAGUGAUGAUAAAAUAGACAGGGACAUCAGCAAUCCUUUUCUGGAGAAUGUUGACUAAAGUCUUUGGGAAUCUCUCUGAUGCAUA